AGAACGAACGCUGGCGGCAUGCCUAACACAUGCAAGUCGAACGAACCCUUCGGGGUGAGUGGCGCACGGGUGCGUAACGCGUGGGAACCUGCCCUUAGGUUUGGAAUAACAGUGAGAAAUCGCUGCUAAUACCAAAUAAUGUCUUCGGACCAAAGAUUUAUCGCCUUUGGAUGGGCCCGCGUUGGAUUAGCUAGUUGGUGAGGUAAAGGCUCACCAAGGCGACGAUCCAUAGCUGGUCUUAGAGGAUGAUCAGCCACACUGGGACUGAGACACGGCCC
This 278-nucleotide ribosomal RNA is filed under the name Alexandrium margalefii. Its description in RNAcentral is "partial Bacterial small subunit ribosomal RNA". It matches the Rfam family "Bacterial small subunit ribosomal RNA", at positions 26 to 332 of the family's 1533-position model. The record is from RNAcentral. Lineage: Eukaryota; Dinophyceae; Gonyaulacales; Pyrocystaceae.